This 74-nucleotide transfer RNA is filed under the name Oscillatoriales cyanobacterium USR001. It matches the Rfam family "tRNA". Rfam says of the family: Transfer RNA (tRNA) molecules are approximately 80 nucleotides in length. Their secondary structure includes four short double-helical elements and three loops (D, anti-codon, and T loops). Lineage: Bacteria; Bacillati; Cyanobacteriota; Cyanophyceae; Oscillatoriales. The record is from Rfam by way of RNAcentral.
GGUGCUGUAGGCAAAUGGUUUAAGCCGUCACUCUUUCAAAGUGAAAAUUGCGGGUUCAAAUCCCGUCAGCACUU